This 69-nucleotide transfer RNA is filed under the name Mochlus fernandi (African fire skink). RNAcentral's name for it is "tRNA-Trp". The record is from RNAcentral. Lineage: Eukaryota; Metazoa; Chordata; Lepidosauria; Squamata; Scincidae.
AGAAGCUUAGGUUAACCAUAAACCAAGGGCUCUCAAAGCCCUAAACAAGAACUAAACACUCUUAGCUUC